AUGCGGUCUGUGCCUGCGUGCUACCCAAACGUCGAUCUGAAUACCACUGAACGCUGGUUUGAAAAUUUCCAUUUUUGUAAUUUGCUUUCCUUUGUUAAGCCAAGACUUGAGAGAAACCUGGCAGUCGUCUCCAAGUCUGGCACGAUUUCCCUUCCGACCCACUCGGUUGGUGGGGAUGUGGAGGGGACCGCACAAGAGAGGAGAGAGAGGGAGGGAGGUGGCUUGAAACUCGCCCGCCCGCCCACCGGGGCCUGCGGAGGGAGCAAGCCCAGCGUCUCAGCCAGGGGGUUUGGCUCCACCUACAGGAAUCUGAGGGCACUCGAAGCAGAUCCCUCUGCCGCCAAGGAAACCAAAGGUGGGGACUUGGACAACUGCUGGAGAAUUUCCCAGCCAAUAGGAAUGGGCUCUAAGGAGCUGACGGCAAGAAAUUUGUUCUGCUGGACGGUGGAAUGGCCUGACAGAUACACUUAGCUGAUUGACUGUCGCAGGCGGAAGUUCGCUCCCCACCUACCUGUUGUCCUGACCCUGAGCUUCUCUCUCAGCUUCUGCAAGAGACUGAGGCAGCUGCUCCUGCUGCUUUAAUCCAAAAAUCAAACGCUGCCUGGAACUGGUGCCAACUGGUUGCUAAACUUACAAAUUCAAUUUUUUUUUUUAAGCCUAAAGGACGGAAUCUUUGAGCCUGCGGGUUUGUAAGCGACAAACAGGCAGGUGCUGUGUUUUAGCAACACAGGUGUCUUAUAUCGAAUAUCUAACACAUGUACUUAUCCAAAGUGCUUAAGAAGCAUUUAUUGAAUUUCCCAAUGACAGUUAUAGAUGAAGAUGAUAUUUACCAAUUGAAAAAGAAUUUUUGCUGUAGGCAGUUAUCAGUUUCCAAUUUUUUUUUUUAAAAAGAAGAUUCUUCCUGUAAAUGUGAUUCUGUUUGCAUUGUGUCAGAUAAAUGAUGAUGUAGUGAAAGUUGGAAAUGAGAAGAUCCAGAUUCCAACCACAAGCCAUCUAUAAAAUGGAAAUAAAUAAUACUGUUAUGACCUCCUAAAGAAUUAGACAUGAAUCAUUAUUACAGUAAUAAUCACAGCAUUAAUAAUAGCUUUGAGCUAUUAUUAAGUGCUAACUACCUUCUAGACUCUCUGCUAACCACUUUAAUUGCAUUAUCUAAUUUAUCCUCAUAACGACCACAUAUAGGUUACAAUUAUU
RNAcentral lists this long non-coding RNA (1191 nucleotides) under Capra hircus (goat). RNAcentral describes it as "lncRNA (ENSCHIG00010000068.1)". Lineage: Eukaryota; Metazoa; Chordata; Mammalia; Artiodactyla; Bovidae. The record is from RNAcentral.